RNAcentral lists this ribosomal RNA (377 nucleotides) under uncultured eukaryote. Its description in RNAcentral is "partial 18S ribosomal RNA". It matches the Rfam family "Eukaryotic small subunit ribosomal RNA", at positions 592 to 976 of the family's 1831-position model. The record is from RNAcentral.
CAAUAGCGUAUAUUAAAGUUGUUGCAGUUAAAAAGCUCGUAGUUGGAUUUCGGGGCAGCCUGGCUGGUCCGCCGCAAGGCGAGUACUGGUCAGCCGCCCUUCCUCUCGAAAGCCCCGACUGCUCUUUAUUGCAGUGGUCGGGUAGUUCGGGACGUUUACUUUGAAAAAAUUAGAGUGUUCAAGGCAGGCCUACGCCUGAAUACAUUAGCAUGGAAUAAUGGAAGAGGACCUCGGUCCUAUUUUGUUGGUUUCCAGGACCGAAGUAAUGAUUAAGAGGGACAGUUGGGGGCAUUCGUAUUUAAUUGUCAGAGGUGAAAUUCUCGGAUUUAUGAAAGACGAACAACUGCGAAANCANNNGCCAAGGAUGUUUUCAUNAA